This 29-nucleotide non-coding RNA is filed under the name Rattus norvegicus (Norway rat). Lineage: Eukaryota; Metazoa; Chordata; Mammalia; Rodentia; Muridae. The record is from RNAcentral.
UCAACAGUCGGGGCGAUCCGUUGGGUCGG